Molecule: long non-coding RNA, 2102 nt
Organism: Astatotilapia calliptera (eastern happy)
Lineage: Eukaryota; Metazoa; Chordata; Actinopteri; Cichliformes; Cichlidae
Source: Ensembl
GCUCAAAAAAAUCUUUAUUUUUUACAUUUCUGGAAAUGGAGACAGAACACACAUGCUCAGAUUUGAAUUUUCUGCAGCUUGUGUCUGGUUUCCUGUGCAGCUCUGCACUAAACUUCCCCUUUCUUUACUUCCCCUUUCUAAAGUCUGUUGCCAGAUCGACCUGUCACCCUCUGACCUAGUUGUUUCUUAUGCCUCUAUUACAAAGUACAAAAGGCAAUAUAAUCAGAAAAUAAGCAUUAAAAAUAUAUAUUUAUAUCAUAACAUUGCAUAAAGUUUUAUGUACUUAAUUUUAAAAAGGGGGAAGUCAUUCAAAUUCUGAAGUAAAAAAAGCUAAAUGAACAUUCUCCAAGUGUGGUGAUUUCAUAUUUAUUUAUCUGGGAUGUUGAAAGACUUUUCUGUUUGGUUGCAAACCUGCCUAAAUUCAUAUUAGUUAUUACUUCCAUUACAACAAUUAAUUUUGGUUCUUGUGACAUGAUAUGUACUACUAUGUGAUCGAUAAGCAUUUAGGAAGCUUAUUUCCAAUCUUAUCAACCACUCCAAGCCCUUUCGACUUUAUAAAAAGAAACAAAUAGUUAGUGCCUGUUAGAACCACUAAAGAUCCGAGGACAACAUAACUGAAACCUGAUAACUAGAAACAGAGAUUAUAUUCGUUUAAAAAGAAUAUAUAAUUCAACACAUCCCCCUUCCUUUUCAAUUAUCAAAAUUUGUAUAUCUAUGAGGGAAAUGUACUGGUAGUUAGAAAAGCCAGCAAAAAAACAUUAACUUUCUUAAUGAUGAAAUAUUGUUGAAUAGUGUGAAAUAUAUCACUUCAUUGAAGAAACUUUUAAAUAUUUUAUAGGUACGGUAAUUCAUGUAGAAAAACAAUUGGUUGCAUUAAUAGUUUUAUUAAGAUGAAGAGAGUAAAAGUCUACAUUCAGGGGAAACCAGAGUAUCUCAUCCUAAAUAACAUAUGGUUAAUAUAUUCUGUAAUUUUAUAAAUGUUAAAAGUGGGGCCAUGUGUUACCAUCAAUAUGAUUGAGAAAAUUCAAGAAAAUAAGUGACAGUCGGGACAAUCAUAACAUUAUUCAAAACAAAUAUACUGCCAUAGCUUUCUUUAUUCCCCUUGCCAUCAAUGGGAUAUUUCCAAAGCAAAAAAACUAAUCCCAUCAUAAUGUCUGUUGAAAACUUUAUCACGGUCAUAGUUGUAAUCCUUUGGCUUUUUUUUGGUGUAAUUACAGUUACUAGUCUAAGAAAUACUGUCAUUGAAUCACAUAUAACAAAAAUCCCAAGUAACUAGUUUGGUUGUCUAUUUCUGUAUGUAUAUUUCUGUUCCUAUUAUUGCACACUAUUACAUUUUUUCAAGACAUUUGCAUAAUGAGUUUAAUAAAUAGAUAAAUAUAUUUGUGGGUAAAUAUUAAAUAGAUAUUACACUUUAUAAGUCACAAGGGUAAUUGUUUGUUAAAUAGUUAUCCAUGCUAAGGUUUACCCAGACCCUUUUUCUUACAUCUGAAGUGAAUGGAACUUAAAUCCCAACUAAACAGGAAAAGAAGAAGUAAACAGUAAGAUAAAACAAAAAAAUCAUCCUUUCACAGUUGUAGUGUUUUUAUGGGGUUUCCAUCCAUGAUUUACCAUUUAAUAGAUGGUAAAGACAAACAGUGCCACUAAUAGAGGGAUUACAUUAAUUCUGACAGAGGAUGCGUGACUUGUUGUCGUCGUGGAUGUUAUAGCUGUUGAAGGCAUUUUAGUGGUUGUUGUUGCGGCUGUUGUCAUGGUUGGAGCAGCUGUUGGUGGUGGUGGAGCAGCAGUUAUUGUUGUUGUAGCAGCAGUCUUUGUGGUUGGAGCAACUGCUGUGGUUGUUGGAGCAGCAGUUGUAGUGGUUGGAGCAGCCGUUGUAGUUGUUAGAACAGCUGCUGAUGUGGUUGGAGCAGCUGUUGUUGUGGUUGGAGCAGCUGUUGUUGUGGUUGGAGCAGCUGUUGUUGUGGUUGGAGCAGCUGUUGUUGUGGUUGGAGCAGCAGUUGUUGUGGUUGGAGCAGCUGUUGUUGUGGUUGGAGCAGCUGUUGUUGUUGGAGCAGCAGUUGUUGUGGUUGGAGCAGCUGUUGUUGUGGUUGGAGCAGCUGUUGUUG